RNAcentral lists this ribosomal RNA (303 nucleotides) under Triticum aestivum (bread wheat). RNAcentral describes it as "partial small subunit ribosomal RNA". Lineage: Eukaryota; Viridiplantae; Streptophyta; Magnoliopsida; Poales; Poaceae. The record is from RNAcentral.
AUGGCGCUGUCCACCGCCCGUGGCUCAUCCCCCCAGCGCCGUCGAGGCUCAGGUCCCGCAUCCUACACCCCUCCCUCGAAUAUGUCGCUCCGACCUUCUUUCGCAGAGCCAGCGGCGGCUCCGCCUUCCUGGAGUUGCCCGUGCUCCUCCAUCGAUGUUCCUGCGGUCAUCCACUGCACCAGCAACAUCCUUUCUCCGUCAGAGCUUGGAUCCUCGCGCCACACCCUUCGUCCGGCAUCCUACAACGACAAAAAAGGAGCGGUCGGUGCCUCCUUCUGCAACCGAUGGUCCGAACUGUCAUAA